UACGUAGGGGGCUAGCGUUGUCCGGAUUUAUUGGGCGUAAAGAGCGUGUAGGCGGCUUCACAGGUCUGCUGUGAAAACUCGAGGCUCAACCUCGAGCUGUCGGUGGAAACCGUGAGGCUAGAGUCCGGAAGAGGAGAGUGGAAUUCCCGGUGUAGCGGUGAAAUGCGCAGAUAUCGGGAAGAACACCCGUGGCGAAGGCGGCUCUCUGGGACGGUACUGACGCUGAGACGCGAAAGCGUGGGGAGCAAACAGG
This 253-nucleotide ribosomal RNA is filed under the name uncultured bacterium. RNAcentral describes it as "partial 16S ribosomal RNA". It matches the Rfam family "Bacterial small subunit ribosomal RNA", at positions 524 to 776 of the family's 1533-position model. The record is from RNAcentral.